UCUCAAGAGUUUUGUUUCUCCAGUGGAAGUAACAGGCUGACUUUGUAGGGACACGCAGCCGUCCAUAUAUGCGUAUAGCAUUCAGAGGUUCUUCCUGUAAGGACCGAUUUGGAAGACUCGUUAAGAAAACAGUGUUCUUUAAGCAAACAUUGGCAAUGGAUUUAAAUGCUCAGAUUUUGAAGAAAUCAACGACUGCAGGUGAAAUGGCUUUGCUAACUUUAAAAUAUAUUAUUAUUCAACAUUGAAACAGGAAAUCCCACAUGAGCACAUUAUAACAUAAUUUAUUUGUGAUAUGGUUGAUAGUGAGGUGUAGUGAUUCAGAACAGCAUUUUCUAUUCAGUUAUCAGAUGAUACCGGAAAACAUUAGCGAGGGAAAGAAUCUGAAAGGAGUCCAGUAAAUGCCUAAGGCAGAUAAAUAGAGCUACAAGAUAAAUACGACCUUAAUUUUCUACGUACUACCCCCAGAAUGCUGGAGGCAUCCUCUGUUGUUUUGUGCCCCUUACCAAAUUCUGGCCGUGUCUGCUUCAACUGAGAGCAGCAAGACCAACCCCUUCUCUUCCUCCGCGUACUCAAUGUAAAGAUGACAAGGACCUUUGUGAUGAUCCACUUCCAUUUAAUACAUGGUGGAGCCUCAUGGAUGGAGGGAAGAAGAGGAUCAAGACCUGAGAAGGAGAAGAGGAGAAUCCCACAGAAAGAAGAAGGAGCAGCCAGCAGGAGGUAGGGGAACCACAAAGC
Molecule: long non-coding RNA, 735 nt
Filed under: Homo sapiens (human)
Lineage: Eukaryota; Metazoa; Chordata; Mammalia; Primates; Hominidae
Description: HSALNT0168456
Source: RNAcentral